UUUGGACCUAAAUGAAUUGCACGGGCGUAUAUAUUUACCGAAAGAAACAGAAAGAAGUCGGAGUGCCGGCCCCCGAGGUGUUAGACGAAGGCGGCCUGUACGGCCGCGGGCAGCCUUGAACAACAGGCGGUGAUGAUACUGGUGCAUACUGCAACCGGGGGUUGGAUGAAAGAGAAAGAUAAACUGUAAACUAGUGCAUCAGUUCAGUUAUAAAGAACAGGACUAUUGAUG
Wasmannia auropunctata (little fire ant) is the source of this 231-nucleotide long non-coding RNA. RefSeq lists it as uncharacterized. The record is from RefSeq and is a predicted model, not a curated record. Lineage: Eukaryota; Metazoa; Arthropoda; Insecta; Hymenoptera; Formicidae. The transcript has 3 exons.